UUUGCAUUUCCCAUUGCUCCAUAGUCUCUCUCUCUCUCUCUCUCUCUCGCUCUCCCUCUCUCUCUCUCGCCAGACAGUCUGCAGUUUAAAGCAGUAGGAAGAAGACACCGGAGAGCCCACCGGAGAGGAAGAAAAGCAAGAGAAAGAGUGUUUUAAGCGACAGGCAAAGAGGAAGAGGAACAGGAAAAGGGAGGAGAGAGGAAGUAAGGAAAGAGCAGGGAUUUGUUGAGAAGGUGGUAAGAGAAAGAAGACGGACGGGAGGAUGAAAGAAAGAGGGAGAGAGAGACAGAGUGGUGGUUCUGUGGGAGGGGGAAAGAAGGAGGUGUAGAGACAGAGGAAUGCAGAAAAAGAAGGGGAAUGCUUCUGCUGGCGAUGAUGAAGGAGCUGCAGCUGUAAGAAGAGUCCAGUGUCACAGUCAGCUGGCACAAUGUCACAAACAAUCUGGUGCAGGUAAGUCAUUUCGAUUUGUAACCAGUGAUCUAGCAAUAACAGGAAAAAAUACAAUGGUGGAAGACAGCAUGAAACCUACAACAUGGCUGCUUCUGUUAGACAACUAAUUCAAAUGCUUUGACUCAACUUGGUAAUUAAGUCAGAGGGUUGAGUUUUCACUGAUCUUUAGGGCAGUGUUUGCAGUAAUUAGAUUCCCACUUGUUGUUAUACUGAAAAUGCUUCCUGAAACUUGAAACUUUCAGAUCGCUACUGUUUUGCACCAUGAUGUUUUUAUUGCGAAUAGAUAUACUAACACAAAUGACAGACUUCUAAUAUUUUAUAUUUAGUUUAAUGCCUCAAAAUGUAGAAUCUAUUACCUAGAUAUUUGUUCAGCAUUUCCAUUUAUUGCCCAAUUCCAAAUAUCUCCAGCGUAAUGUCAUUGCACAGUCUAAAUUUGUUCUGUAGCUGUUUGAGAUAUUAAAGCAGGUUUAGGUACCUUUGCUAUAUGCUGCAUCAUUAAUCAAAAUGUGUGGGUGCACCUGCAGAGCUCUUGUCACUUCCUGUUUAGCGUCUUCGUUGGUUCAUCCUGUCAUGGCUGUCCACCCCUUGCAGCACUUCGGGACAGGCUGUUUGUUAGCUUGCUGUCAGCCUGUGUUUUUCAAGUCUUGGAGAACAUUCAACGCUGUCGGUGAGUUUGUGACUCAGAGAAAACCAUCGAGUGUUGAGUGUACCCUAACACUUGAGAUCACAACAACUCACAACACCACGUACCAAAAAAUGUGUAGCACUCAGAUAUUACAUAGUAAUUUUUAGCAAAACACAGAAGUAAAUACUAGCAUUAACAAUGGCUGCAGUCUAUUAAGGUGUCACAAAAUUCCAUGAACAGUCUUACUUAUUUAAAGCUUGUUAAAUAGUCACAACUUUUACUCUGUUUAUUCAUGUUUCUGGAUAUAAAAUUUCCUCCUCAUUUUUGUGUCCCCAAACACAAAUUUUCUUCUGAAUGCACUCAUACUGCAUUUAGGCAAUUAAGUGAUGUAAAUAAUAUGAAUAUUUGACCAUUUUAAGGCUAACAAAGUUUUCAUUUAGAGGCUGGAGGGAUUGUUGUUGGCAUAAACGCUUUUUCAGCUCACACAUCAGACCCCGUUUAAAACCUAAAAGGGUUGAUCUUUUUACCUCAAUUGUGCUAUUUUAAUCACAUCUAUAGAAGCCACUUGGCUAGAUUUAAGCCCUGAAAAGUAAUUAGUAAUGUUUAAGCUGAAAAGUACACAGAUUUAGUUUACACAAGAAAAACUGGAAACAAAAACGACUGGAUCAGGUAAAAAAUAAUAUUCAUAUUAGUUAAUAUAUCAAAGGCGAGGGGAAAUGACGAACAUGCCGACAAACUGUCCCAGCUGUAAAAACAAAAUGUAAAAGUGCCACACAAACCGGAAAUGGACACCAUUUCCCUUCUAAAUAAAAGAUGUGCCCGUUGAAAACUGCAGCGCAGAUGCAACUUUUACUUUGAAGGCCAACGACCUCCACUUCCGGUUCGUGUUGAACUUGGAUUUUCGCAGGGCUAGUAGCUAGCUAGUAUUUGCAGACAAACGUGAAAAAGUACAGUCAGUGGUGGCGGUGUGUUAGGAGCCAAGGUUUUCAGUGCAUCACCAGUGCAUCAAAACAUUUUUCAGCAGCAAAGUGUGGUUGUAUAACGUACAAUAAUGUUGGACAACCCUUGAGCACCGUGUCCAUGAUGUCAAUGAGCCUCAAUAAAAAGCUAUUUUUUGUUCUGUGGGUGUGUUGAGCUGUGCUUAAUUUAGGUUUUAUUCCAGUAUCUUUGUAUACCAAAAUCUGGGUUUCCCACACAUUUUUUAAAAGUAAUAAUUUGUUUUAUAAACUUUACUAAAGAUAAUCAAAUAAUAUUUUCUGUACAAAAAGUGUCCAGGUCAAGUUGUACUUUCAUAUGUUUUUCACCCUUUUUAUCACACACAGGAAGCAUGUAUCCAAUUGUUUUGUGAAUAAUGUAUCACUUUGUUUCUGAUUGACUGUUGCUUAUUGUUACAUUGUAUAAAGCUCUGCCUUGGCCAGUUCUAAUCCAGUGCAUGAUUCCGGCUCACAUUCAUCGCUGUCGGUGGGUUAGUAAUGCCAUAAACUCGCCGGGGGAUGAAUGACAACUGUGUCCAUGCUUGGCUGCGGUUCCUGAUGUCUUCUUUUUUUCUUUCAGCUGCUUGUAUCUGCUUAACUGAUGGAUUGUUUGUGUUGUUUUUCUAAAUGAAAUAUGAACCCCAAAAGAAAAUAAAGAUUUUCAAACAGAUUCAAAUUACUGUCAUAUUUGGUGUGUCACAAGAUGCAUGAUUAUUUUAGAAGGACUGUCAGUGUAAUUUUUCGUUUCUCUGUUAUGAAUUCUGAUAAUAAAAAACAAGAAGGAAAAACAGAUACAAAACUAGAGUAUUUUAAGGAUGUUGUGAAGGCCUGAAAGAAACUGAAACAGAAUGCAAAAUUUCUAAAAGGUCAUGGACAUAAUCACAAUACGUCUAUCUGAUAGCAGUAUACAGUCCUGACGAUGAUAGGAAGUUCCUGCUCUCAUCUGGGAAUGACAAAGGCACCCCAAAACCUGGGACUUUUUUUUAUUGACUUCUGAGACCCUUCAGCAAUGUGACUACACACCAGAUUACACACAUUAAGGAGUGGGACCCUGUAGAGGAUACUUUGGGAUUAGGCCUCAGGCCCCACAUAUGUAUAGACAUGUGUGGUGAAGUACUAAAUGCGGUAUAUGUGCAAAAAAGCUAUGCUAACUGAGAGCCAACAAAGGUAACGUUAUUGGUCUUACUUGGAAAUGAGCCAACGCAGGACACUUAUAGUUCACACAUCUUUUCUGACAUUUGGCCAGAAUGCUGUUUCAUAAUGAUACAAACAAAUGUAAAGCUCAGUAUAUACUGUCACAAACCUUUUGCACACAUAUAUGCUUAACCAUAGGCUCUGUUCAUUAUUACAGUAUAAAAUAAUGAACAUUCAUUCAUUUGGCCAGGGAUAGCUCAGUAGGUAGAGUGGUUGCCCCAUGAUCAGAAGGUCAGGGGUUCAAACCCACUGAAUGGCUACCCUGAGGUACCCCUGAGCAAGGUACCAUCCCUACACACUGCUCCCUGGUGUGCCUGCUUAGUAGCUGCCCACUACUUCACUGAGUGAAUGGGUCAAAUGCAGAGAGAGUAGUUUCCCUGCGGGGAUCAAUAAAGUAUACAUUAAUAUCAUUAUUAUUAAAAGCCAGGUUUCAUUUGACUGGGUUUUGUUGAAGACAUACUGCACAUAUCUACACAUUUAUAUCUUCAAAAACAAUUGGAAUAUUAGACAUGUAGUCAACUCCUCCACCUCUUUCUUGCUCCAGGGGUUUCCUAUUGUCUGAUGUUCAGCAGGUGGAGUGGAGCUCAGACAGACUUGGCCACUUGGGGAUAUUCCACCUUUUCCUCUAAACACGUUCUUUGAUAGAGGCAGACCCAGAAACUCCUCCCAGGUAGAGCACAGUGUCCAGCAAACCAUCUUUUUCCAUCUGAAAGAGGGAUCCCAUCAGACCCACAGCUGCUCUCUGACCUCCGCCUGACCCCAACAGUGCAAUGUGAGGAACCAUAUCCUGGUGAAAAGAGAGAAAAACAGGACAAACUCCUGCUCUCCAGCAGAUAAGGACUGUGACUGAUGUACAUACUUCUGCAACACACAAGGAAGUAUUACAGGACGCACAUAAGAAAACUUUAAGGUUGGGAUCUACAACAUAAAUAUUAACUAUGUAAAGUGUCAUUUUAAAUAUACACUUUAAAAUAUACACUUUAAAAGAUUUGCCAUUUAAAAAAAUGACAAAAAACUAGAUAAACAUGUGUGAAAACAUUGAAUUUCUCU
Molecule: long non-coding RNA, 4293 nt
Organism: Haplochromis burtoni (Burton's mouthbrooder)
Lineage: Eukaryota; Metazoa; Chordata; Actinopteri; Cichliformes; Cichlidae
Exons: 4
Source: RefSeq, a predicted model, not a curated record